Molecule: ribosomal RNA, 497 nt
Filed under: uncultured bacterium
Lineage: Bacteria
Description: partial 16S ribosomal RNA
Rfam family: Bacterial small subunit ribosomal RNA
Source: RNAcentral
GAUGAACGCUGGCGGCGUGCCUAAUACAUGCAAGUCGAGCGAACAGACGAGGAGCUUGCUCCUCUGACGUUAGCGGCGGACGGGUGAGUAACACGUGGAUAACCUACCUAUAAGACUGGGAUAACUUCGGGAAACCGGAGCUAAUCCCGGAUAAUAUAUUGAACCACGUGGUUGAAUAGUGAGAGUCGGUUGUGGUGUCACUUCUAGAUGGAUUCGCGCCGCAUUGGCUGGUUGGUAAUGUAAUGGGUUACUAAGGGUACGAUGCGUGGCCGACCGGAUAGAGGGGUCGGCGACCCUGGAACGGAGACGCGGUCCAGAGGCCUACGGGAGGCCGCAGUAGCGAAUCUUCCGCAGAGGGCGAAAGCCUUGCGGAGCAACGCCGCGUGAGUUACGAAGGUCUUCGGAUCGUAAAACUCUGUUAUUAGGGAAGAACAAAUGUGUAAGGAACUAUGCACGUCUUGACGGUACCGAAUCAGAAAGCCACGGCUAACUACGUG